AAGCACCAAGGAAAGACUGUAUGAGGACACAGUGAGAAGAAGCUGUCUGCAAGCCAAGAAGACCCCUUUCCAAAAGCCAACCAUGCAGGCACCCUGAUCUUGGACUUUGCAGCCUCUAAAACUGUGAGAAAACAAAUUUCAGUUAUUUAUCCACCUAGUCUGUGACAUUUUGUUAUGGCAGCCUGAACAGAAUAAGACACCCACAAAGAAAGAAAGAAGCACUGAUUUUGACAAGUACCCAUGGAUGAGAGUACUUUGUGGA
This 262-nucleotide long non-coding RNA is filed under the name Homo sapiens (human). RNAcentral's name for it is "novel transcript, antisense to CCDC191". The record is from RNAcentral. Lineage: Eukaryota; Metazoa; Chordata; Mammalia; Primates; Hominidae.